Molecule: long non-coding RNA, 1859 nt
Organism: Castor canadensis (American beaver)
Lineage: Eukaryota; Metazoa; Chordata; Mammalia; Rodentia; Castoridae
Source: Ensembl
UCAGGGCUGUGGCCACAUGUGCCCUCCACAUUGAGUUAUAGGCAGCACUUUUACCUUUUUUUUGUUUGUUUUUUUGUUUUCUUGAGGUGGGGUCUCGCUGUGCUGCCCAGACUGGCCCUACACUUAUGAUCCCGGGCCUUACGAGUACAGGAACAACCGGUAUCAAAAGCACGCCAGACUGUACCUUCACUUUUAUCCAGUCAAGUUUUACUAAUGCAAAUUUUUCCCAAAAAGAAAAAAAAAAGGACCAUAAUUCAGUUCUGCAUUUGCAAACAUUAGGCAUGAAUGUUAGAAGGUGCUUCUUUCUGCCCUGGCUAUAAAAGCACCUGAACAACUUCUGUACUGCAAGACUGACAAGCUAAACAUUAGCUUCCGUGUUUGUGAAGAUACAGGGCUGGGAGGAAGCACUGCAGUGCUUUUACAAAUGCUUUUCUUAGGGAUAUUUUAGCACUAGGACAAACUAUUUUAACUGUUUUCUACUAAAUGUAGCUAUGUGUUUGGAAAUAACAAUUACUGGGGAAAUACCAGAAACAGUACCAGCAUCUGGUGCUGGUGUUUUGAUUUGUUCUGCCUGUACCAGUGCACAAGCCUCAGCAGGCUGUUUAUACAAGUAACUUAUUUCCAUCAGGGAAAACUGGUGAAAACAUGAUCAACUUAUGCCAUUUGCUUAUGUUAUCACAGUGAAUUUUCUGACUUACUCAGGCUCACAUCCCUAAAAUGAUGUACAUGUUGCUAAUUUUCCAAUAAACUCAUGUUAACUUUAAGGACACAUAAAAUUAAAUCAGACAUCAAUUCUGUAGCACCGUGUAGAAUGCUUGCCGUAAUACUCCCUGAGAAUGAGUCAACAGAUGAGGCAGCAACUGCACUGAGAGUGAUAAAUUUUGGAACCAGUCCACCUAUUCUCAUACCCAAAAGAGGAAAUCCUGGUGGCCCACAACCCUACACCAGUUUACUCGGGCACAGUUACACCCACAAUAACACUUCAGGAGCUCAGAGAGGAACUCUGAAAGAGGUGACAGGAUCAAAACCAGGCCUUCAUAAAAGCAAGCCCAGCAUCUGGGCCACUUGAAAUAUAGAUGGCCAUGGAGCACUUUGACAAUGGUCCUCAGGAAGACAGAGAACAUGAUUCCUUGUCCACUAAAGCAAAGAUCAAGACACAGGCUUAUGGCACAACAAAUGAGGCAUCUGUGUGCAGGUAUAUGUGCAUGGAGAGGAACCAGCAGAACUCCCUAAGAAGCCUUCCUGAGCCUCUGCUCUGUGCUAAAGUUGGCCUUCUCCAAGACUCGGGCAAAGGACUGGCUGCCUUCAAGACAGACGUCAGCAGGAACCUUUGCCUUCCAAACUGACUUCUCCAGGGCCACUUCCUCCUCCUUCAACAGGCACCUUGAAGCUUCCCUGUCCUCUAUGACACAAACACAAGUUCUAGUCACCCACAUGCUCAUCCACACUCUAUCUUCCUAGACCGUGCUUUGCCAAGUGUUUGAUUUUGCUUUCCAAACUAAACUGAUAGAAAGUCACAGUGGCUCCAAUGAGACACAGAAGUGUGGGGGCUACUCAGCCCCUCAGCUAUGGCUUCACACAGACAAGACCAUUCUCAGAGGUAUGGUGUGAGGUCUAAAAAAAACAAUGGCCAGGUGUGGUGGCUCACACCUGUAAUCCCAGCUACUUGAGAGGCAAAGGCAGAAGGAUCUCAAGUUCAAGACCAGCCUCAGCAAAGUUAGGGAGACCCUCAAAAACAACCUACAUACAAGAGGGCUGAGGCAAGUUUCAAUGGUACAGUGCUUGCCUGGCAUGCACGAGGCCCUGUUUCAAUCCCCAGUAUCACAAAAAUAAAUAAAUAAAUUUUAAGAACUAAAACA